This 468-nucleotide ribosomal RNA is filed under the name uncultured bacterium. RNAcentral describes it as "partial 16S ribosomal RNA". It matches the Rfam family "Bacterial small subunit ribosomal RNA", at positions 28 to 507 of the family's 1533-position model. The record is from RNAcentral.
GACGAACGCUGGCGGCGUGCCUAACACAUGCAAGUCGAACGGAAAGGCCCUGCUUUUGUGGGGUGCUCGAGUGGCGAACGGGUGAGUAACACGUGAGUAACCUGCCCUUGACUUUGGGAUAACUUCAGGAAACUGGGGCUAAUACCGGAUAGGAGCUCCUGCUGCAUGGUGGGGGUUGGAAAGUUUCGGCGGUUGGGGAUGGACUCGCGGGUGAUCAGCUUGUUGGUGGGGUAGUGGCUUACCAAGGCUUUGACGGGUAGCCGGCCGGAGAGGGGGACCGGCCACAUUGGGACUGAGGUACGGCCCAGACGGCAACGGGAGGCAGCAGUGGGGAAUAUUGCACACUGGGCGGAAGCCUGAUGCAGCGACUCCGCGUGCGGGAUGACGGCCUUCGGGUUGUAAAACGCUUUCGCCGGUGACGAAGCGUGAGUGACGGUAAUGGGUAAAGAAGCACCGGCUAACUACGUG